RNAcentral lists this ribosomal RNA (508 nucleotides) under uncultured bacterium. Its description in RNAcentral is "bacterial SSU rRNA". It matches the Rfam family "Bacterial small subunit ribosomal RNA", at positions 30 to 518 of the family's 1533-position model. The record is from RNAcentral.
CGAACGCUGGCAGCGUGGAUUAGGCAUGCAAGUCGAACGGGAUCCGGUAGGCAGCAAUGUCGGCCGGUGAGAGUGGCGGAAGGGCGAGGAACACGUGGGCAACCUGUCUCUGAGGUGGGGAAAACCGCUGGAAACGGCGGCUAAUACCGAAUGUAGCGCCCGCUCGCAUGAGCGGAGCGCCAAAGGGGGCGAAAGCUCCCCCUCUCCGAGGGGCCCGCGCACCAUCAGCUAGUCGGCGGGGUAACGGCCCACCGAGGCUCACGGUUAGCUGGUCUGAGAGGAUGGCCAGCCGCACUGGGACUGAGAUACUGCCCAGACUCCUACGGGAGGCUGCAGUCGAGGAUCAUUUGCAAUGGGCGAAAGCCUGACAAUGCGACGCUGCGUGGAAGGAUGAAGGCCCUCGGGUUGUAAACUCCUGUCAUGGGGGAAAAGGAAACCCUGCCCAAUACGCAGGGAAUUUGAUGGUACCCCAAGAGGAAGCGACGGCUAACUCUGUGCCAGCCGCAGC